This 132-nucleotide ribosomal RNA is filed under the name uncultured Polaribacter sp. Its description in RNAcentral is "partial 16S ribosomal RNA". It matches the Rfam family "Bacterial small subunit ribosomal RNA", at positions 395 to 524 of the family's 1533-position model. Lineage: Bacteria; Pseudomonadati; Bacteroidota; Flavobacteriia; Flavobacteriales; Flavobacteriaceae. The record is from RNAcentral.
UGCCGCGUGUAGGAUGAAUGCCCUAUGGGUUGUAAACUACUUUUAUACAGGAAGAAACACUGGUAUGUAUACCAGCUUGACGGUACUGUAAGAAUAAGGACCGGCUAACUCCAUGCCAGCAGCCGCGGUAAU